CUUGACCGAGAGGUCCGGGUAAUCUGCGAAACUGCAUCGUGAUGGGGCUAGAUUAUUGCAAUUAUUAAUCUUCAACGAGGAAUGCCUAGUAAGCGCAUGUCAUCAGCAUGCGUUGAUUACGUCCCUGCCCUU
This 132-nucleotide ribosomal RNA is filed under the name uncultured eukaryote. RNAcentral describes it as "partial 18S ribosomal RNA". It matches the Rfam family "Eukaryotic small subunit ribosomal RNA", at positions 1528 to 1660 of the family's 1831-position model. The record is from RNAcentral.